UAGGGAAUCUUCCGCAAUGGGCGAAAGCCUGACGGAGCAACGCCGCGUGAGUGAUGAAGGUCUUCGGAUCGUAAAACUCUGUUAUUAGGGAAGAACAAAUGUGUAAGUAACUAUGCACGUCUUGACGGUACCUAAUCAGAAAGCCACGGAUAACUACGUGCCAGCAGCCGCGGUAAUACGUAGGUGGCAAGCGUUAUCCGGAAUUAUUGGGCGCAAAGCGCGCGUAGGCGGUUUUUUAAGUCUGAUGUGAAAGCCCACGGCUCAACCGUGGAGGGUCAUUGGAAACUGGAAAACUUGAGUGCAGAAGAGGAAAGUGGAAUUCCAUGUGUAGCGGUGAAAUGCGCAGAGAUAUGGAGGAACACCAGUGGCGAAGGCGACUUUCUGGUCUGUAACUGACGCUGAUGUGCGAAAGCGUGGGGAUCAAACAGG
Molecule: ribosomal RNA, 429 nt
Filed under: Actinomycetes bacterium
Lineage: Bacteria; Bacillati; Actinomycetota; Actinomycetes
Description: Actinobacteria bacterium partial 16S ribosomal RNA
Rfam family: Bacterial small subunit ribosomal RNA
Source: RNAcentral